GGGGGGGUGGGUUCAGUGGUAAAGUGUUUGCUUAGCAUGCAAACAGUCCCCAGGUCCAGUCCCCAGCCUUUCCA
This 74-nucleotide transfer RNA is filed under the name Sphaerodactylus townsendi. RNAcentral's name for it is "tRNA-Ala". Lineage: Eukaryota; Metazoa; Chordata; Lepidosauria; Squamata; Sphaerodactylidae. The record is from RNAcentral.